This 336-nucleotide ribosomal RNA is filed under the name Triticum aestivum (bread wheat). RNAcentral describes it as "partial small subunit ribosomal RNA". The record is from RNAcentral. Lineage: Eukaryota; Viridiplantae; Streptophyta; Magnoliopsida; Poales; Poaceae.
AUGCUAGCGGCUACUAACUUUUCUUUUCUGCAGAGACGCUUUGCUAGUGAUCAGACCAGGAAGGCAUACACAGCAUUGAACGAGCAGCUCGAUGCGUACACCGGGGUCAUCUGGCAGCCCUACACGGAAGCAGCCAUACAAGCGAGAUACCCUGGUGGUAUGUCUGUGCUAUGCACAAGGGACCGAGAUUACUGGAUGACAAAAUCUAAGAUCAUCUUCGAUGUCUUCGUCGAGGAGAUGGCACAACAGAGGGUUAUGAGGCAAUUUGGUCUUCUGCAGUUGGAGCUACCUCCCCCUAUAGAGAACCCGGUGCCAGCACACAUCCACAGGUAUUAA